This 408-nucleotide long non-coding RNA is filed under the name Elaeis guineensis (African oil palm). Its description in RNAcentral is "long non-coding RNA (EGUI_LNC062023)". The record is from RNAcentral. Lineage: Eukaryota; Viridiplantae; Streptophyta; Magnoliopsida; Arecales; Arecaceae.
GGGUGCCUUAGGCGUUGAUGCUGCAGACGGAAGUCAUCUGCUGUAGAAGCCCGGACGAAAACUUUCUGUUAGAGAAAUUCGACUGGAGUUCGAUUGCUAGAGAAGUCUAUCUGGAAUUUGUCUGAUAUAGAAGCUUGUCUGAAGACUGUCCGUUGGAGAGGUCCGGUUGCAUGAGGAAUCUGACAGAAGGUCGACCGUUAGUGAAAUUUGGAAGGCACUAUAGAAGUUUGACCGAUAGAAGAGUCCAGAAGGCAUUGUGGAAGUUCGUCCACUAGAGAAGUUUGGAGGACACUGUGGAAGGUCGACCGCUAGAGGGAUCCUGAGGAAAUUUGUCUGUUGGAGGGGUCUGGUGGGCACUGUUGAAGUUUGGUUGGCGCUGUUGAAGGUUGAUGGCUGGAGAGGUACAGA